CUUCGGACUGCCACAGCUAACUGCCUCUCUGUACUCUCCAUUGUGAAGUUGGAAGUGCCCCUACAGCAACUACAUGCUGAUCAGACACAUAUGGAUGCAGUCCACAGAAAGUGGGAUUUUAAAAGUGGGUUGAUUUACUCCAGGUGUCUGAGAAACUUCACCCCACUCAAGUAAGGAACAAACAAGGAGAACAAGAUUUUUAUCCCCCC
Gavialis gangeticus (Gharial) is the source of this 209-nucleotide long non-coding RNA. RefSeq lists it as uncharacterized. NCBI's taxonomy places the organism in Eukaryota, Metazoa, Chordata, Crocodylia, Gavialidae. The record is from RefSeq and is a predicted model, not a curated record. The transcript is spliced from 4 exons.